Felis catus (domestic cat) is the source of this 1167-nucleotide long non-coding RNA. RefSeq lists it as uncharacterized. NCBI's taxonomy places the organism in Eukaryota, Metazoa, Chordata, Mammalia, Carnivora, Felidae. The transcript has 3 exons. The record is from RefSeq and is a predicted model, not a curated record.
AGAUGAAGAACCGGGACACCUGGCGUGAAACCAAGGUGGAGACUCGGGCACCGAGGAAAACGACAGGGAGACCCAUCCACAAAAUCUCUUACAAGGGGAGAAUUUGCUCCUAGGAAGAAGAUGGAAAGGAUAAAGGGGUCUGCAUUGGCAGAAGAAAUGGAAGAAGAAAAGAAAGCACGUCAGCUGAUCUGGACUUGCUUUGAAAAGAGAUUUUCUGGCACCACACUUAAUAAUUUCCUCGUCGAUCUGAUUGGCCAGCUGUGUUACUUGGCCCCUCUUAUCUGCAUAGUGGCUGCACUGUGUGUUGGGAGGGCAACCAGGAGUCUUUAUCACUGCAGGACCGUUGCCAAGAUUAAGAAGAAGGUAUAAACAGAUUUCAAGGCGAUGUCAAUAAACCAGGUUUCAAGAAACUACUAAAACAUUUUUUGUGAGUUGCUUUCAUUUUAUCUGAAUUUUAAUAUGUAUUUCAACACUUGGCUAUACCAGAGUAUGUAGGUUUGUCUGUCAUUUCAUAGCUGUCAAAGGGAAAUUCUUAUUUUAAACCUCUACAUCAUCAUUAAACACUUCUAAUAAUAAAAGGCCUAAAUUUUAAGCCCUCGGGGACAUCAAAGUAUCUCAUUUACUAUGUUGAUCCAGCUCUGCCGGCAUGUUGCAAAACAGAUACGGAAUAGGCGAAAGAGGGUCAGAACAAAACCGAACACUGUUAUCUCCUUGUUGACAAUACCUAAGAUGAUAAAAUAUUUUGUUUAAAACUGGUGGGCUGUCUUAGUAAGUGAACCAAGAAAGGGUGGGGGAGCUCCUAAAUGUAUCUAUUUUAGGCUACAUCUUAUAAUUGACCCUUUUUCCUUUUUAAGUAAAUGUAUGCCUCCUCCUACCUAGCUCAGAGCCUUGUUACAACAUCCUUAGGAAAGAAAGCAGUCAUUUAAAAAUGGAGUUGAAAGUCCACAUUUCAGCCUUGUAAUGUGGUUGCAUCGUGUGGUGACCUUGGAGACUUAGCUCCAGUUGUGCAAAGUCUCAUAAUGCGGAGGAGCACAGCUUAGAAAAUAACAAAACCCCAACAUUCUUUUUUACUCUACUCAAUAUUUUUACUUGUUACAGUCUCCUUGAGGAAGUGUUGGCUCUGAUAAAAGGGCAACAGGCAUUUGCCUCAUGGUCUGAAGUUUGAUA